This is a transfer RNA of Camelus ferus (Wild Bactrian camel), 73 nucleotides long. It matches the Rfam family "tRNA". Rfam says of the family: Transfer RNA (tRNA) molecules are approximately 80 nucleotides in length. Their secondary structure includes four short double-helical elements and three loops (D, anti-codon, and T loops). The record is from Rfam. NCBI's taxonomy places the organism in Eukaryota, Metazoa, Chordata, Mammalia, Artiodactyla, Camelidae.
GGAGAUAUAGCUCAAGUGGUAGAGCACAUGCUUAUCAUGCAUAAGGUCCUGGGUUCAAUCCCCAGUACCUCCU